UGGUUGAUCCUGCCAGUAAUCCAUAUGCUUCUUUCAAAGAUUAAGCCAUGCAUGUCUAAGUACACCUUGAUACAGGGAAACCGCGAAUGGCUCAUUAAAUCAGCUAUGAUUCUUUGGAUAGUCUAGUCGUACUCGGAUAACUGUGGCAAUCCUAGAGCUAAUACGUGAACGAAGCUCCGACUCCCUUGGUCGGGGGGAAGAGCGCAUUUAUUAGACCAAGACCAAUACGGCGGUGACGGUAGCAGUCCUCGCGACUCGCUGCCGUACAGCACCUGACCGUUUGAAAUCUGUGGUGACUCUGGGUAAACGUAAUGCGGAUCGCACGGCUCGAGAGGAGCGGGCGAUGCAUCUUCGAAAUGUCUGCCCCAUCAACUAUCGAUGGUAGGCGAGUUGCCUACAAUGGUACUGACGGGUCACGGGGAAUCUGGGUUUGAUUCCGGAGAGGGAGCCUGUGAGACGGCUACCACAUCCACGGAGGGCAGCAGGCACGAAAAUUACCCACUCCCGGCGCGGGGAGGUAGUGACGAAGAUUAACAAUACUGGACUCGAUCGAGGACCAGUAAUUGGAAUGAAUGGUACUUGUAAAACCCUGCACGAGCAACUAUUGGAGGGCAAGUCUGGUGCCAGCAGCCGCGGUAAUUCCAGCUCCAAUAGCGUAUAUCAAAGUUGUUGCAGUUAAAAAGCUCGUAGUUGGAUCUGGGGUUAUUAAAGCAGGUGACCGGCGGUGUCGACUUCAAAAUUGGAGGAGACCACUGUUGGGCCUGGCCUAUCGAAGCUGGUUCGACUCGUGUGUAGUCGCAAUGUUUUAUCCGUGCCCCGAGUGAGGUGUUCCCCGACGAAGGUCACGGACGCCGUCGACGGCUUCGGCGGCUCGGACGAGCGCGGCGCUGGUGAGAGGGGUCUCGGCGGUGAGGCGGAAAUCGCGUCGGCAUUAAACGUUUCCCGGUCCCGAAGGGGCCAGGCGUUUCUCUCGUGCUCCCUGUAUGCGGUAAGCGAGGUCGGCGGAGGUAGACGAGCGUCGGGACAAGGUCCGACGAGGGACAUCGUCGUAGUUGUCGGUCGUCCGCGACCGUCGGCGACGUGCGAGUGUACCUUUCCGAAGGACCCAGCGACGGAAGUGCCUCUGUCGGACUGGGCGGUCCGUUGGGAGUCUCGGGGGACGCGGAAGCUCUCAAGGUCGGGAGAUUCUGAAACGCCUUCGCGAGGACCUUGCGGAUCGGCUGGGCUCGCUCGAAUCUCUGCCGCGCGAACUCCUCGUGCCGUCGACCGUCUUCGGUGCUCCACGACCAUGAUCGUCUGCGGAAAAAGCCUCGGUGGGAAUAUACCGCGGAAAAUGUCUCUCGAUGCUCUUGACCGGGUGCGAGGGAAACCGGCCCGAAUGUUACCGUGAUUAAAUUAGGGUGUUCAAAGCAGGCGUUGAAGCCUGUAUAAUGAAGCAUGGAAUAACGAAAGAGGACCUUGGUCCCAUUUCUGUUGGUCUGGCGGACUCGGCGAGGUAAUGAUUAAAAGGGACAGAUCGGGGGCAUACGUAUCGCGGCGUUAGAGGUGAAAUUCUUGGAUCGCUGCGCGACGCUCGAUAGCGAAAGCAUGUGCCAAGCAUGUUUUCAUUAGUCAAGAACGAAAGUCGGAGUAGCGAAGACGAUCAGAUACCGUCCUAGUUCUGACCUUAAACGAUGCCUUCUGGCAAUGGGGUAGAGUUAUACCCAAGGACACACUCUGAAGCCUCCGGGAAACCAAAGGUUUCCGGUUCUGGGGGAAGUAUGGUUGCAAAGUUGAAACUUAAAGGAAUUGACGGAAGGGCACCACCAGGAGUGGAGCCUGCGGCUUAAUUUGACUCAACACAGGAAAACUUACGAGGUCCGGACACUGUAAGGAUUGACAGCUUGAAAGCCCUUUCUUGAUUCGGUGGGUGGUGGUGCAUGGCCGUUCUUAGUUGGUGGAGCGAUUUGUCUGGUUAAUUCCGGUAACGAACGAGACUCUGGCCGGCUAAUUACGUUCGCCGUCGACCGUGAGGUCGACGGGGAUAACUUCUUAGAGGGACGAGUGGCGUGGAGUCACGCUAGACGGGGCGAUAACAGGUCUGUGAUGCCCUUAGAUGUCCGCGGCCGCACGCGCGCUACACUGAAAGAAUCAACUCGUAUCCUCGCUCCUGGCCCGGAAGGGUGGGGCAAACGGUUGAACCUCUUUCGUGAUUGGAAUUGGGAUUUGCAAUGGUGUCUCAUGAACGUGGAAUUCCCAGUAAUUGCGAGUCAUUAGCUCGCGUCGAUUACGUCCCUGCCCUUUGUACACACCGCCCGUCGCUACUACCGAUCGGAUGCUUUAGUGAGAUCCUUGGAUCGGACUGCGUGCACGUUCGAGGUACGCGCCGAGAAGAGGCUCGAACUUGAUCAUCUAGAGGAAGUAAAAGUCGUAAC
Molecule: ribosomal RNA, 2414 nt
Filed under: Oenone fulgida
Lineage: Eukaryota; Metazoa; Annelida; Polychaeta; Eunicida; Oenonidae
Description: bacterial SSU rRNA
Rfam family: Eukaryotic small subunit ribosomal RNA
Source: RNAcentral